UCCCCGAGGCACAGAGGAAACACACAGGUAGGGGCACCUCCCUCCUCCCCGACUUCUGCAGUAGUCUUUGACUGGCACGCCUCACCUGUCCUGUGCCCACCGCUGCCUGCUGUCUUUCAGCCAAGAAAGCACCAGAUGGCACUGUCAUCCCCAAUGGCUACUGUGACUUUUGCCUGGGGGGCUCCAAGAAGACUGGAUGUCCUGAGGACCUCAUCUCCUGUGCGGACUGCGGGCGAUCAGGACAUCCCUCGUGUUUACAGUUCACGGUGAACAUGACCGCAGCCGUGCGGACCUACCGCUGGCAGUGUAUCGAAUGCAAGUCCUGCAGCCUGUGUGGCACCUCGGAGAAUGACGACCAGCUGCUGUUCUGUGACGACUGCGAUCGGGGUUACCACAUGUACUGCCUGAGCCCUCCCAUGGCGGAGCCCCCGGAAGGGAGCUGGAGUUGCCACCUCUGUCUCCGGCACUUGAAAGAAAAGGCCUCCGCUUACAUCACCCUGACUUAGACCUGGCUCUGCUUCUCCAGGACCUUUGGGUGGUGCUAUCCUCGGCCUCUUGGAGCUCCUGACUUUUCCCGCCUGGUGUCCCCAGUGGAAGGGAUAGGGUGAAGCCCAGAGAGGGGCCAAGGCGGUCUCCCUCUGCAAGUGGAAUGUUACCCUGAGGGAGGGUGGGUCCAGCAGGGUCCCUCCUGUCCCCCAUCUUCAUUCCUUGACAAGUGGGCACCAGGCUUCUGCUCCCCUCAAAGCCAUACCCCGCCUCUGGGCGGGCAUAGAGGGGUAGUGGAUGCCAGCCAGUGGCACGGAAAAAGCCUUUUUCUAAAGAAAAAGACAAAACGUGAAAAAAAAAAAAGGAAAAAAAAAAAGAAAUUAAUAUAUACAAAGAUUCCUCUAAGCCUGGCUGGGUGGGGGGCCACUGAGUGUCUGCUGGGACCUGACUUUACCAGUUUCCUGAAUGGCCCCUCCCCACCCCAUUUCUGGAGUUGCAAUUGUCUCAACUCCCAUCUGAGGUGGGUACCACACCUUCCUCACAGCCAGGCCAGGUGGGCAUGGUGCCCACACACUGCCCCCUCCCGGUACCCACCGUGGAUACUGCAUGAUGUGAACCAUGGUUUUGAACUCUUCCUGCCCCUCCUUUGAGAGCCCCGCCCUGCGCCCACCCGGUGCCUGCCAGACCUGGGGCUUGCAGCUGGGGGAGGCCGGUGGGGUGAGGCAGGCAGGCAGGCAGCCAGCCCGCUGCAAUGAGAAGAAGCACAGAUUGCAAUGGACUCAGUUGUUUUUUGUUUUUUGUUUUUGUUUUUGUUUUUUUUUCUUUCUUUCUCCCUUCUCAACCCUUUCCUUCCCUACCCAGCCAGGCUGGGCUGCCUCCUUCCCCCCAUCGCUAGCCAUUUUGGGGGUGGCAAGGAGGUGUGGUCGUUUCUCGUGGUUGUGUGUGUUUGUUGUUCGGGUUUUAAAAAAGGGAAAUUGAGACUGCAAGUGGGGGGAGGUGGAGGGUCUGGGGGAGUCUGCCCCCCAACCCAGGAGUACCCCCCUUGCCACCAAGUCUCCUUUAUUGCCUGCCUCUGCUGUGAAUUAACUUGUUCUGUGUAUUAAACUGGGCCGGACCCCUCUGCCCACAAC
RNAcentral lists this long non-coding RNA (1616 nucleotides) under Rattus norvegicus (Norway rat). RNAcentral's name for it is "long non-coding RNA NONRATT000568". The record is from RNAcentral. Lineage: Eukaryota; Metazoa; Chordata; Mammalia; Rodentia; Muridae.